This is a non-coding RNA of Chiloscyllium plagiosum (whitespotted bambooshark), 1555 nucleotides long. NCBI's taxonomy places the organism in Eukaryota, Metazoa, Chordata, Chondrichthyes, Orectolobiformes, Hemiscylliidae. The record is from RefSeq and is a predicted model, not a curated record.
AGCUAUCAAUAUCUGAGGGGCCGCCUUCUUCUGAAUCAAGGCGCAAUUGCUGCUGGUUUAAAUAAGAACAGUAGGGAAAGCCAGAGUGUGUGUAACCAGGUGGCUGUGGCAAUGAAACACCAGAUGUUGCCUGCGACAUCACAGGACCACUCCCUGGGGGCGGGACUCAGAGCAUGUUACUGGAGUAACAUUCGGCACAUCACCCGCCUACUCCCCAUUGCCAGUGGCUCCAGAUGCUGCAGACCGUCCUUCACAGCAGGAUGAGGAAACCUCAUCUCCAGGGACAGCCAGUCGCCGUUGAUCUUAGAAAGUUGCAAUCCUAUCUUGCAAUUGCUAGUUAGAGCAAAUAGACAAGAGAGACAGCAAAGCAAAAAAAACGACACACAACCGAGAAGCAGAGACAGACACCAGAACUCUGGAUCCCAGCCAACAACACAAGACCAUGGGCCCCAGAUAUGCCUGUCUCUUCAUCGAGCACCUGGAACAGUCCAUCUUCUGCAACUCCACUGGCAGCAUUUCCCUACCUUUUCCUCAGCAACAAGUCACCGGAUUGCAACAGCUCCUGGUCCACCCUCGAGGCCACUACCAUCAAUGCCUGCAAAAACUCGGUCGGUUCAUUAACCUGUAAACAGGAAAUACGAGAACUGAUAAACCAGAAGCACAUCACAUUUCUGAAUGUAUAACAGCAACCACACUCAGGAGAGAAAAGGCAGACCCACAGGCGACUGAAUGCCAGGGUCCAACAAUGAACCUGUGACAUAAGGAACAGGUGGUGGGUGGGAAAAGCACUUGAGAGCCAAUGAAUGGCCAACAGCCAUAGUGUGAAGGAUUUCUUUGGGGGUGUCAAGACCAAAUAACCAAUGCUUUCCCCCCCCCCCCCCAAGGACAGAGUGAAACUUAUUAAAGACACAGCCAUCAAACAACGCUGAGGAUAGCAGCAUGCUACACACCACGAGCUUGGCAACACCCCAGCCCCAAACGAAGAGAAGAUUGUUCACCAGCUCAGGAACAACAAAGCUGCUGGUGUGGACAGUAUCCCUGCUAAGGCUUUAAAGUGCGGGGGCACCCAGCUCCCAGUACAGUGGCACACCUUUGUCUGCCUUAACUGGAAGGAGGAGAAUGUACCGGGUGAGUUUCAAGAUGCCACAAUUGAGAGUAUUUUCAAAAAGGGAAUACGUCUGACUGUGGAAACUACAGGGGAAUCUCCCUGCUGUCAAUCAUUGGAAAAGUCAUCACCAAGAUUCUCUUGAACUGCCUCCUCCAUGUGCCUGAGGAACACCCCCCAUCCUCUGGAACUGCAGUGUGGCUUCCAGUCAUGGGGCACAAUGGACAUGCUUUUCGCCUUGCAACAGCUGCAGGAGAAAUGCAGAGAAAACAUGGCCUUGUACAUGGCCAUCUUUGACCUUACAAAGGCCUUUGACACGGUCAAUUGGGAAGCAUUAUGAAGUGUCCUUCUCCACUUUCGCUACAACAUGAAAUUUGUCAAGAUCCUUCACCUGUGCGAAAAAGACAUUUAAAUCGCGGUAAUGACAAAUGGCUCCAUCACCGACCCAUU